RNAcentral lists this ribosomal RNA (460 nucleotides) under bacterium Ellin7519. Its description in RNAcentral is "bacterial SSU rRNA". It matches the Rfam family "Bacterial small subunit ribosomal RNA", at positions 29 to 479 of the family's 1533-position model. The record is from RNAcentral.
AUUGAACGCUGGCGGAAUGCUUUACACAUGCAAGUCGAACGGCAGCACGGGGGCAACCCUGGUGGCGAGUGGCGAACGGGUGAGUAAUACAUCGGAACGUGCCCAGUCGUGGGGGAUAACGUAGCGAAAGCUACGCUAAUACCGCAUACGAACUCUGGUUGAAAGCGGGGGACUCGCAAGGGCCUCGCGCGAUUGGAGCGGCCGAUGGCAGAUUAGGUAGUUGGUGGGGUAAAGGCUCACCAAGCCGACGAUCUGUAGCUGGUCUGAGAGGACGACCAGCCACACUGGGACUGAGACACGGCCCAGACUCCUACGGGAGGCAGCAGUGGGGAAUUUUGGACAAUGGGCGCAAGCCUGAUCCAGCCAUUCCGCGUGCAGGAUGAAGGCCCUCGGGUUGUAAACUGCUUUUGGACGGAACGAAAAGGCCUUUUCUAAUAGCAGGGGGCUCAUGAGCGGUACC